Molecule: ribosomal RNA, 450 nt
Filed under: uncultured bacterium
Lineage: Bacteria
Description: partial 16S ribosomal RNA
Rfam family: Bacterial small subunit ribosomal RNA
Source: RNAcentral
GUGGGGAAUAUUGGACAAUGGGCGAAAGCCUGAUCCAGCCAUGCCGCGUGUGUGAAGAAGGUCUUCGGAUUGUAAAGCACUUUAAGUUGGGAGGAAGGGCAGUAAGUUAAUACCUUGCUGUUUUGACGUUACCGACAGAAUAAGCACCGGCUAACUUCGUGCCAGCAGCCACGGUAAUACGAAGGGUGCAAGCGUUAAUCGGAAUUACUGGGCGUAAAGCGCGCGUAGGUGGUUUUGUAAGUUGGAGGUGAAAUCCCCGGGCUCAACCUGGGAACUGCCUCCAAAACUGCAUGACUAGAGUACGGUAGAGGGUAGUGGAAUUUCCUGUGUAGCGGUGAAAUGCGUAGAUAUAGGAAGGAACACCAGUGGCGAAGGCGACUACCUGGACUGAUACUGACACUGAGGUGCGAAAGCGUGGGGAGCAAACAGGAUUAGAAACCCGGGUAGUCC